CAGGAAUCCUGGAUCUGGGAAACGCUGAAUGGAAUUUGGAGAAAGGUUUCAGUCUUGGGGCCAGACAGACCUGGUUUUGAAUCUUGCCAGGGUGCUCUCAAGCAAGUUUCUUCACUCUCCCAAGCUUCAGAACCUCAAAGAAGAGUAAGUUUGUGAUGGAUCAGUGAGAUAGCACAUGGUAGGGGCCUUAAAGUUUGGCACAGAGGCUGGACACUACUUGGCAUAUGGUAAUUAUGGGAUGCUCUCCCCUUCCUAACUCUAGAAAAUGAUGCCCCUGAAACUGCUGCCCUGGGGAUUUCUAUGGACACGCAGGUAGCCAAUUAAACUUGAAUCAGAUCACCACAUAGUAAGUCAUGAAAUUAGCUAACUCACAGAGAGGAAGUUUUGGCAUCCUGGUUAUUACUGAUAACCUCAGGUUGAAUCUGAUUAAAUGUGUGAACAUCCAAUCAAAGGCCAGCAACAGUUGAUGGAACCGGUUGAACAGGCCAGUGCAGGCCUUGGGGCUUCUGAUUCACUGAGGGCUGGCUGUAGCCCUGGGUCCUGCAUGUGAUAAUCAUGCUUUGUGCUUAUAGGCCCUCGAUAUCUUUAGGGUUCACUUGAUUGUCACCAUAAUUGAGGGAUGGCCUGCUGGCGCUGUCCCCAGACAACACUUUGCUGGCCUGGCAUUAGUGCUCUUGCUCUUCCAUCUUUUGAACGUACAACUAGAGGGAAUUCGGGGUCCUUUGAAGCCACAGGAUAAACGUGACUGAGAUUCCUGGAAUGACGAUUUUACUUCAAGCCAAGAAGUGUCAACCACUGCAAGAGAGAAGAUGACAUGAGGAGCUUUGUUAUAAUGACAAAGAAACCCUGUGGCUUCUGAGAAGGAGGAAGCCUAGUGGAUGUGGCGACCACUGCAGUGACCAAGCAAGAAUGAGCACCAAGAUGGAGACAAGCGAAAUGGCUGCAGUUUUACAGAGUCUAAUUAUCAGGAGUAGUUAAAGUGGCCAAAACUUGCCUCCUGGUGUUCACCUUGGUCUUCCUUUGACUGAGCAAGUCCUUCUACCGACAGCAGCAACAACAAUAGUAACAACAAGUAAAAAUGAAUAUGCAAAUAUUUAUGGAACAUUUCCAGCCACUGGACAUGUUAUACACAGUCUCAUCAAAAACUCACAGCUGUGUCAAUAUCAUCUUACUUCACUGUGGAGGGAACGAAGGCUCAGAGAGGCAUGAGAGAUAACCAACUGGAGUGGCUUCCUGGUCCCUGGCUGGAUCUAAGGCAAGGGAAGCAGUAUUGCUCUGAUGAUGGCUGGUACCAUGGCCGCCCUGUUUUUCCCAUGUGGAGGAAGUCAGGCUGCAACAUGAAAGACAGAUGCUGAGACAGGGCAGAGGGCCAAAACAGAUGAAGCCAGAAAUGCUAUCAUUUAAAGAAGACUGGAGAGACAUGACAAUGUAAUGCAACAAGUGACCCCUGAUUGGAUCCAGGAAGUAUGGAAGUGUCCCACCCAUGUCUCCCCUCAAGACCUGCUGCUGCCCAGUGGGGAGAAUGUGGCUGGCGGGCAGCCUCCAGCUGUUGGCUCUUCAGGAUCUGCUUUAGGCAGAGAGAAGCCUGCUCCAGUCUGAAAAAGAUUUCUCAGCAAUAUUCAGUUUAAAGGGAAGACUACAUUUAAGUACUCCCAAUGUGAGCAUCCGGACAGCAGGAAACUUAAGGACUUCCUCGGAAAAUCUCACCUGUGGCUUGAGGUCUACCUGGAGGUCUCAGGUGAGCCUGGUGAUGGCGCCACACUAAAAGGUAGAACUCACCAAGGACUGGGCCAUACUACGGAGCCAGAAGAAUGGAGAAUCAGAACUGUCAUUAAGAGGAGCAAAGUUUGAGGAGGAGAGGUAGCAAGAAAGAUGAGUGACAUUGGAUGAAGGAGAGUUGAAGCCAGGCCUGGGAGGGGAUGGGAGUGGGAAACUUCUCCAAGCUGAGUUGUCAAGAGAGUGUCCUCUCCAGCCCCACGCCUCUCAGUCUUGCUGCCUGUGAGCAGGCCUGUCUUGUGUUAAGCCUGCCUGACUUAGGACACUUUCUGUUACUGUGGUUCAAGAUUGUCAAUCAACAAACAUUUUUUUGCUCCUUAUUCAUCACUGGGUGCUAAAAUGAAGCUUUGAAUACUCGGGGUGGUCCUUUCUGACACUCCAUGGAACCCCAAGCAUAGCAUGUAGUUAUUGAUAAGUUUCUUACUUCACAGGGACCUCUCUUAUCUCUUUAGCUGGUCUGGAACAUUCUGGAUGACAAACCUGGAUGGGUCUGCUUCACGUUCAAGUUGAACUGUGAGAAUAAUGGGGACUUUUAGGACUAUUUUGACUGGGAUCCUGGGUGCUGGGUCAAGUCUGAGUCCGAGGCUACUUGUCCAGAGCAGCUGAAGCCCACACAAUCCAAAGCAUGACAGUCACCUGCAUGCUCAAUGAGUUCCACUUUGAACUUAUCACUUGUUCUCCAAAUUAACUUCCAUUCCUGGAGACUUUACUAGUCUAGCCACAUAUUCCCGCAGGGGUCUUCUAAUUCUUUGCUAUCACUCAUCAUAUUUUGUUUUAAUUGCUUGUUUAACAUCAACUUUCUGUAAGAUUCUGUAAGAACCUUCACUAUGUGUUGGAUGUUUUUGCCUCCCAAAGAUUCAUGUGUUGGGAGUUGGGUUCUCUGUUGUCGGGAAGUGGGACCUUUAAGCGGUGGGGCUAGUGGGAGGUCCUUGGUCAACUGGGGGUCUACCCUCAGAAGUGACUGUGACCUCAGUCUCUCUCUGGCUUCCUGUCUUUAGAUGUGAUCUCUUCCUCCCAUAUGUGCUUCUGCCGUCUGCCCUGAGAUCCUCAUCAGGGCCAAGACAAUCUGGUGCCAUGUCCUUGAAUCUCCAAAACUUUGAGUUAAAUAAAACUCUUUUCUGGAUAAAGUUAGCCUACUUCAGGUAUUCUACUAGAGUAAUGAAAAAUAGAUCAAUACAUUAUCUAAGUUUAUGUGGACAGGGAUCAGGUCUGCCUUUGUAUAGUAUUGGGAUAUUCUUUAUGUUUGGCAGUUGGUAAUACUCAAUAAAUAUUUGUGGAAGGAAUAAUGGAAUGAAAAUUCAAGUAACAAUUGAAGAGCAAAGGAAUCAGUCCAAGAGCACCUGCCUCAAGCUCAGGUCCAAGGCCACAAGCCAGAGAGCAAAUGUGGGACAGGGAGCCACAGUCAGGUACAGGCUGGAAGGUGAUGCCAGGCAGCCAUGGUUCGGGUCAUACACUGUGGGUAAGUCAGGGUGCUGGGACCUGAUUGUAUCAAGGACAAACCAUAAGCUGGUAAGCUGGCCAGCCUAGAGGCAGAGUCCAGCUGGACCCUGGCCUCCCCACUGUCCAGCACUCAGUCAGGCAUUCAGAAGUUACAUGAGUACAGUGUGAUGAGCGAUACGGAGCAAUUACUAACCCCGCAUGGAUUUCUCUCAUGUGUGGAAGAGCUCGGCACAGAUCUUGGCACACAGCAGGAUUCGAUGAAUGAUUAUUGAUCCUAAAAUCUAAAAAGCAAAAUUGUAGUAUUCAACCAAAGAGAGAGCUGUGUCUAUUAGGACUUUCUCAUUACAAACAGGAGAAACUUAACCAAAUGCUUAAAUGAAGGCAAAGUGGAAGAAGCAGAGUUUGGGAUAGACAGGAACCAGCUCUGGAAUCCAGGCAUAUGAAACAGUGAGGGUUUCUUCUCCGUGUCCCAGUAGGGGAGGUUUGUCCUUCUGACACCCUGCUCAGAGAUUCCUUGAUUAAUAGUUACACCAAGACUCAUGUAAUAGACAGGGGGAAUCCUCCACAGGACAGGAGUGUAGGUGCUGGGAGGGCAAAGUCUACACAUUCAUCACUCUCAGCCUCUGCAGUGAGUAGACGGGAGUCUUCGUGGCCCUGCCUGGGCUGUCUUGCCUGGUGUCUGUACUCAACUCUUCCUUUGCAUUGAGUUGUCCUUUUAUGCCUUGGACUGGAUACUCGGAACUCUGGCUUCCUCUACCAUUCUCAUCUGAUUUCCCUACUUUGCAUUAGGUAUCGAUAGAUCCAGCUUUUCCACUUUUAGUUCCUGAAAUGGUCCCCCUGCUUGCCUGGGAGGAGAGGGCAGACGAGGAAAUCUCAGCUGUCAGCAAUCAUAGAUGUGAUCUGGCACUCUCAGGCCCAGGGCAAAAGAAACUUGUUCAGGGUCAGUGAGUGAGUUAAGCAUAGAUUCAGGGUCAUGGUCCAAGCUUCUUUUUUUCAUGAAAGCAACUCUAGAAAACACAUUUAAGUGAAAAAUAGAGAGUGCCCACCCAAAUAAAUCCACCAUUUACAUUUGAAACUCACAUCUUUGGAUUUCUAGUUUAGUGGGGAGGCAAUACAGCAAAUUGGUAGAGAAUGGGCUGAGCCUGGCAGAUAGGAGCCACGUGUCCCUGGAAAUGUUGCCUAAACUAAGCUACAGUUAUCAUUUAUAAAAUAAUGGUAUUGUGAAGAAAAGUUAUGGCACUGUCUCUUAUGCAGUACUUAAAAAAUGUUGAUAAGUGCUCAAUGAAUAUUAACUUUUAGUAACAUCGUGGGUCCUCUCACGCUACCUUGCUGCCUGUCCAGCUCUUUUCCUGAUCUAUCUCCUUAGGCAAUUUUUCUCAAUUCCAGGCUUCAGGGGUGCUAUCCACUAAUUUGGGGGAUGCCCUAAAAUAGUCGACACCUAGGAGUCAGUACUGAGCAAUUUGGUAGGAAGCAUGGGGAAGAUAAAAGACAAAGUGUGUCCCAAGCACAGAUUAAGCAUCGUGUUGGACCACAGCAGUUCAAUCAUGUCUAUUCUCCCCUUCUAGUGACAGUACCCUCACUCCUUUUUCCUUUGGGAACAUCUUCACCCACUCUAGAUGAUUUGAAUGGUGCUGUCAAUUACAUUUCCUGAUUACCUGGCCCUGCCUCUUCUAGACCAUCCAGGCUUAGUCAAUCAGAGUAUCCCAACUCAGGAUUCCAUAAUGGUCAAGUGAUCUCAGGAGGGUCCACUGGAUUUCUUUUGGAACUCCUUUUGUCUUUGGAGGCAAGGUGGUGAAAGUAUGUGCACAUAUCUUUACCCACAGGGAUAGAGAAUGAAAUCAACACCACGAGAAACAGACACAGGCAGAGAAGACCCUGAAAGUAUCAAUUCCCACGUUCUAGCCCAGAGUCCUGGUCCUUGAAGAACUAUUUUUCUUUCCCAUUUUAGUACCAGGGAUUGAAUACAGGGGCUCUUAAGCACUGAGCCACAUCCCUAGCCCCUUUUUACAUUUUAUUUAGAUAAGUUCUUACUAAGUUGCUUAGGGCCUUGCUAAAUUGCUGAGACUAAUGUUGAACUUGUGAUCCUCCUGCCUCAGCCUCCCAAGGUGUUGGGAUUACAGGCAUCCCCCUCUGUGCCCAGGCCUGUCAGUAUAAACUUCUGUGUAGUUUACCCAGUGCAGUACUCAGUCAUGGGAACCAAUAAAUGUCCUUUAAAACAACAAUUUUUUUUUUGUUUUGCCUAAACUGAGUUGUAAGGCUGCUAAUUUUUAAAGUCAGAGUCUUUUUUUUUUUCCCCAGAGUCUUGACUAAUACAAAUACUUUGUUUUAAAGGAGGGAAGUGAUUGUGUAAUCCUUUGUGAUAUUGUCCAUUCUGCCUCUGAUGAGAAGGAAUAUUAUCCCCAAGUGGAAAAUACUCCUAGCACGCUGACCAAGAUCAAGGGAACCCUGAUACAGUUGGGCUAGGGCUUGAUGAUUUCUUUGGACUCUCUGGAGUUGCAUUCUGUCAUAAUGAUUGCUGAUAGGAUGUGCAGUGUUCACUCCAUCAAGCAGAAUCUGAAUCUCUCAAGUCUUUGGAGUUAUUUGAAGAAGCUGUGGUCCUUUCAUCUCUUCUGCUUUCCUUGGAGUUUGUUCUGUUUCCUUUCAUCUCCAUCUCAGCACUCUGAAAAGGUGUAAUGGCAUGAGAUCUAGAGUCUGGGUGUGUAUGAAGUAUACGGGCAUGUUCUGAGCAAUCAGAAUUAAUCAUGUGACACCUGUGUGCUACUCCCUUUAUCAUUGCAGUUAAAAAAAAAAACAACAACAACAAAACAGGACUAGGUGACUGGGCUUAUCCCCAGGGAAGGUUUAUACUACAGUCCUCCCUGCCUGGCGGAGGCACAGGAAGAAGGCUGGUAACAUUGAGUGACCAGCUGGUUGCCGGCCUGAGGAAUAUCCCCAAAAUCCGUGUUGCCAUUGUUUGGGAGUCUGCCCACCUUCUCAUCAGCUUGUCCCUCUCUUCCUUCAGAAAGUGCUCAGAAUGCUUCAGGAAGCCUUGCUCGAUUUCUUUUAGUGCUAAUAAACCCAUCAUUUGUUGUUUCUUACAUGUGCCCUUCCAUUUCUUUGGGCCCCCAAUGUACUAUAUAUUAUUUGGAGAUAAGAACAGUGUAUACUGGGUUUCCUUUAAGAACAUCAUAGAAAAUAAUGGGGAUAAGGGCUCAAAGGCAGCUUAAUGGAUGGUAGGGCAUGUCCAAAGUUUCAUGGUCAUAUAAAAUAAUAAAACUGGGAGGAAAGUACUUUGUGGUAUGUGCUUCUAAGGUAGAAAAGCUGAGAGAGCUGUGACCCACUUUGGGUUUUCAUUUCAUGAAAUUCAUAAAAAGAUAUAAAAUAGGAUGUUCUUUCCUAUCCUCUGUGUAGUUUAUCUCUUCUGAAAUGUUUAUUAUUUCUUUUUUUCUGCUGAUGUUGGGUUUAGUUUGUUCUUUUUUUUCCAGUUCAUUUAGGUGUAAAGUUAAUUUAUUUGAGAUCUUUGUUCUUUUUAAAUGUGUUUAUCACUAUAAACUUCCCUCUCAGCACCGAUUUUGCUGCUUCUCAUAUUUGGUAUGCUGUUUUCAUUUUCAUAUGUCCUCAGAUUAUUUUCACUUGUGAUUUCUUCUUUAACCCAUUGGUUAAGAGUAUGUUGUUUAAUAUCCCCACACAAUAGUCCCUCUUUACCUGCAGUUUCACUUUCUGCACUUUUAGUUAUCUAUGGCCAACCACAGUCUGAGGAUAUCAAAUGGAAAAUUCUAGAAAUAAACAAUUUAUAAAUCGUAAAUCAUGUAUCAUUUUGGGUAAUGUCCCUGCCCAGGACAUGAAGCACAUGAAUCAUCCUAUUGUCCAGUGUAUCUGGACUCUAUAAGCUACCCUCUUGUUAAUCACUUACUAGCCAUCUAACUUACCAGAUCUACUGUUGCAGUUAUCCCAGUGCUUGAGCUCAAGUAACCCUAAAAUAUGGGUUAAUAAUGCUGCCAAAGUGUAAAAGUGGUGAUGCAGAGGAGGCACCAGAGCAUAAAAUGUGGAAGGACAGAUUAACUCUGAUAUUGCAAUGCUGCUGAUUUAGAGGGAAAAUGUGGUUUAUUUAGGGUUUGGUAUUAUUUGUGAUUUCAGGCUCCUACUGGGGUCUUGGAAUGUAUCCCCAGCAAUAAGGGGUAUUUUCCAGUUUCCCUCUAGCUAUUGACUUACAGUUUCAUUAUAUUAUGGUUGGAAAAGAUACUCUAUAUGAUUUCAAUCUUCUUUAAUUCCCCUGACUUAUUUUGUGCCCUAACAUGUGGUUCUGACUAAUGAGUGUUUUUUAUACACUUGAGAAGAAU
Molecule: long non-coding RNA, 7535 nt
Organism: Marmota monax (woodchuck)
Lineage: Eukaryota; Metazoa; Chordata; Mammalia; Rodentia; Sciuridae
Exons: 7
Source: RefSeq, a predicted model, not a curated record